Molecule: ribosomal RNA, 223 nt
Filed under: Clostridioides difficile
Lineage: Bacteria; Bacillati; Bacillota; Clostridia; Peptostreptococcales; Peptostreptococcaceae
Description: partial 23S ribosomal RNA
Rfam family: Bacterial large subunit ribosomal RNA
Source: RNAcentral
CGGAGAUAGCUGGUUCUCCCCGAAAUAGCUUUAGGGCUAGCCUCAAGGUGAGAGAUACGGAGGUAGAGCACUGAAUGUCCUAGGGGGGAUUGCACCUACCGAAGACUAUCAAACUCCGAAUGCCGUCAUCUUAUACUUGGGAGUCAGACUGUGGGGGAUAAGAUUCAUAGUCGAAAGGGCAACAGCCCAGAUCGUCAGCUAAGGUCCCUAAAUGUAAGUUAAG